ACCGUCUCAACACCGCCGACCACCGUUCUGCACCACCAUGAGUUGUUAGUCAUCGUAGAUGGAGCCGUGUUGUCGGAGUACGAGAGCCAAUAACGUAAACCCAAGCCGUGAUGGUUGAGUGUCCUCUUCUCAAUUUCUUGUGCUACAAGAAAUUCACUUAUAUAAUUUAACCCUUAAUUGGUUCAUGCCUAGGGAAACCAUCGUGGACUUAAGGUGUGAAUUAUUUGAUAAUUAAUUCUUGUUAAAUCCUGACCGAAGAGGUUUGUUGGACAAAUCCCGAGUGUUUUCUCAACGUGGCUAAGGUGAGACUGACAAGUAUAUGAUAUUUGGACGGAUUGGUGCUACUGAGUUUUUUAUUCGGAUUUUUAUUUGGGCUUAGGAUGAGUGUCAGUUGUGUAUAUGGGCUAUUGUGUUAUGAGAUAUUGUUGGUGGCACGCUGUUUUCCAGAUAGGAGGUGACGGGUGUCACAGUUUCAUUCGGCUGUCCACAGAUCCGGCCCUGUUCGAACUCAACUGGAAAAGCAAGAGGGAGUGGAGAUGGUUGAGAGUAAUUUGGAUGGUAUUGUGGGUUGUGUUGACUAUUUUCCUCACAUGGAGGAUCAAGUGUCUUGUGCUAACGUGCCACCACCUGAUCCUUUUGUAUGGGGAUGAUGGAGUCAGAGACAAAAGCUCUUACUCAUGUUCUGUUUCUAUUAUCUGAAAAGUAUCUUUAAUAUUGUGAUUAUUCUAUUUUCUUGCAAAGUUUUUGCAGUCUUCAUGUUAUAUAGAUUAUAUAGCAGAUGGUGUCGCUAGAAAUUUUGAUAAA
This is a long non-coding RNA of Brassica oleracea var. oleracea, 804 nucleotides long. RefSeq lists it as uncharacterized. The transcript has 2 exons. The record is from RefSeq and is a predicted model, not a curated record. Lineage: Eukaryota; Viridiplantae; Streptophyta; Magnoliopsida; Brassicales; Brassicaceae.